CCCUGUAUCGAAAAUGAUCAUGGCAUCUUUGUUGUCAGGUCAUUGAUACUACAGGAAGAUCAAGUUGAGAGCCUUUCCCGUGUUUGGAGGAAUUGUUAGUUCCUAUCAGACCCUGAUGCUCUCAGACA
Molecule: small nucleolar RNA, 128 nt
Organism: Doryrhamphus excisus (bluestripe pipefish)
Lineage: Eukaryota; Metazoa; Chordata; Actinopteri; Syngnathiformes; Syngnathidae
Product: small nucleolar RNA SNORA71
Source: RefSeq, a predicted model, not a curated record